This 253-nucleotide ribosomal RNA is filed under the name uncultured bacterium. Its description in RNAcentral is "partial 16S ribosomal RNA". It matches the Rfam family "Bacterial small subunit ribosomal RNA", at positions 524 to 776 of the family's 1533-position model. The record is from RNAcentral.
UACGGAGGGAGCAAACGUUGUUCGGAUUUACUGAGCGUAAAGGGUGUGUAGGCGGUCUUGCAAGUCAGGGGUGAAAUCUCUCGGCUCAACCGAGAAACUGCCUUUGAGACUGCAGGACUUGAGGGCGUGAGAGGAGACUGGAAUUCCUAGUGUAGCGGUGAAAUGCAUAGAUAUUAGGAGGAACACCAGUGGCGAAGGCGAGUCUCUGGCACGCAUCUGACGCUGAGACACGAAAGCCAGGGGAGCGAACGGG